UAACUUUGAUGAGUCAAUCUCCUCUUCGAACUUUGAGGAGGCGCUGCGGCUCUGGUUGAGGUAGUGGCUGCGGAGCCGCAGUCAAGAUAGGAUUUUGUGGGAGCACCACUGUAGAAGGUACAGGCAACACCACUGAAAAAAUUGUAUAAUGCACCAUCGUAAGGGGUGCAGGGACAACCUGAGGAGAUUGUGGUGUCUCUUGAAAGGGUGCG
This 212-nucleotide long non-coding RNA is filed under the name Elaeis guineensis (African oil palm). RNAcentral describes it as "long non-coding RNA (EGUI_LNC049396)". The record is from RNAcentral. Lineage: Eukaryota; Viridiplantae; Streptophyta; Magnoliopsida; Arecales; Arecaceae.